CUGCCCUUUGUACACACCGCCCGUCGCUACUACCGAUUGAAUGGCUCAGUGAGGCGUCCGGACUGGCCCAGAGAGGUGGGCAACUACCACUCAGGGCCGGAAAGCUCUCCAAACUCGGUCAUUUAGAGGAAGUAAAAGUCGUAACAAGGUCUCCGUUGGUGAACCAGCGGAGGGAUCAUUACCGAGUUUACAACUCCCAAACCCCUGUGAACAUACCAAUUGUUGCCUCGGCGGAUCAGCCCGCUCCCGGUAAAACGGGACGGCCCGCCAGAGGACCCCUAAACUCUGUUUCUAUAUGUAACUUCUGAGUAAAACCAUAAAUAAAUCAAAACUUUCAACAACGGAUCUCUUGGUUCUGGCAUCGAUGAAGAACGCAGCAAAAUGCGAUAAGUAAUGUGAAUUGCAGAAUUCAGUGAAUCAUCGAAUCUUUGAACGCACAUUGCGCCCGCCAGUAUUCUGGCGGGCAUGCCUGUUCGAGCGUCAUUUCAACCCUCAAGCCCUCGGGUUUGGUGUUGGGGAUCGGCGAGCCCUUGCGGCAAGCCGGCCCCGAAAUCUAGUGGCGGUCUCGCUGCAGCUUCCAUUGCGUAGUAGUAAAACCCUCGCAACUGGUACGCGGCGCGGCCAAGCCGUUAAACCCCCAACUUCUGAAUGUUGACCUCGGAUCAGGUAGGAAUACCCGCUGAACUUAAGCAUAUCAAUAAGCGGAGGAA
Molecule: ribosomal RNA, 710 nt
Filed under: Fusarium verticillioides
Lineage: Eukaryota; Fungi; Ascomycota; Sordariomycetes; Hypocreales; Nectriaceae
Description: eukaryotic LSU rRNA
Rfam family: Eukaryotic small subunit ribosomal RNA (bases 1-181)
Source: RNAcentral